Coregonus clupeaformis (lake whitefish) is the source of this 458-nucleotide long non-coding RNA. RefSeq lists it as uncharacterized. The transcript is spliced from 5 exons. The record is from RefSeq and is a predicted model, not a curated record. NCBI's taxonomy places the organism in Eukaryota, Metazoa, Chordata, Actinopteri, Salmoniformes, Salmonidae.
GUGCAGAGAAUACAUACUGGUACAUACAGAGCCAACCACAGCCUCCACUGGCCAUACUCCGUUUGAAUCUGAAACUUCAGAGCAAUCCAUGGACACAACGUGGCUAAAAUGUAUUCUCAUUGGAUCUGGGGUCUUGAAUGCAGUUCGGAUGUUAUUGGUGUCAGUGCUGGGGAAGAGAGCUGCUUGCCAGAAGAAUCCUGACUCUCCUCCAACCUCUAAACCACCUGAAAGGGCAGACGGGCCAGAGUAUGAAGUGAUACAGUUGGUACCCCCACCGAUAGGACCAAGGCCAGACCGCAUAGCCUCAACUAUUUACUCCAGAGUCCAGUUUCCAAAUCCUGAACUCACAACUAGUGCUUAAUAAGUACAUAUCGUGACCUUGUCAUGUCAGAACAGAAACUGUCUUUCAAAACUAAGACCACCUCAAGGUGCAGACCAGAGGUAAGAUACUUUUUGUA